GGUUGAUCCUGCCAGUAGUCAUAUGCUUGUCUCAAAGAUUAAGCCAUGCAUGUCUCAGUGUAAACUUUUAAACAGUGGAACUGCGAAUGGCUCAUUAUAACAGUUAUAGUUUAUUUGAUAAUCAUUUUUACAUGGAUAACCGUGGGAAUUCUAGGGCUAAUACAUGCGUAAACCCGUAAGGGAUGUGUUUAUUAGAUUAAAACCAUCACAGUGUUCACACUGUACAGUUGGAAUGAUAAUAACCGAUCGAAUCGCACGCUUCUGCGGCGAUAAAUCAUUCAAGUUUCUGAC
RNAcentral lists this ribosomal RNA (291 nucleotides) under uncultured eukaryote. Its description in RNAcentral is "partial 18S ribosomal RNA". It matches the Rfam family "Eukaryotic small subunit ribosomal RNA", at positions 6 to 311 of the family's 1831-position model. The record is from RNAcentral.